Non-coding RNA from Anas platyrhynchos (mallard), 665 nucleotides. Lineage: Eukaryota; Metazoa; Chordata; Aves; Anseriformes; Anatidae. The record is from RefSeq and is a predicted model, not a curated record.
ACCCCUGCGGAGAAACACAGACACGGAGCCCUCAGAGCGGUACCGGCGAGCGGCGCGGGGGCAAGAGACGGAGCCGUUUUUUGUGGGGAGCGCCAUUCUCCACUCAGCUUUUCACCAAGAGGGCUGCGGACACACAGAAAACCCGUCUGAAUGUUUAUUUGGUGUUUUUGAGAGCUGCCUUUCCCCAGCCCUCUCCCUGAAGAGCGCGAGCAAACAGAGCUGGGUCGGGAUUUGCACGGGUGAAGCGCCGCGGCCUCACGCACCGAGCCCGGCUGAAAGCAGCCGAGCAGGAACAGCGCUCUGCCACAUUCCUUCCAGCCCAGUCAGAGCUCCAGAAACAGGUCCUGGUGUCCUCGCAGUCUCCCCGUGCACUUUUUUUGCUCCGGGAAGCGCUUCCCCUCCGUGGGAGCUUCUGUCAGCGACAGGGCACGUGCUGCACAAGUGCCCGAGGAGGGGUUUACGGGGCCGGGCUCUAAUCGGUUCCUUGACACCAAAACCCGAAGUUUUCCCCUGCAUGAUACCUUCCAGGUGCUUUCGGCCACCUCUCCACACGUCGCAAACCUUUUGGGAACGCUCCCAAGCACACUGCUCCCGCACGGGAGGCGUUUAGGGGAAGGCAGGACACAGGGAGGGGAAAAACGACAGCGUUAAGGCAAACACCGGGG